AACGAACGCUGGCGGCAUGCCUAACACAUGCAAGUCGAACGAGACCUUCGGGACUAGUGGCGCACGGGUGCGUAACGCGUGGGAACCUGCCCUUAGGUUCGGAAUAACUCCCCGAAAGGGGUGCUAAUACCGGAUAAUGUCUUCGGACCAAAGAUUUAUCGCCUUUGGAUGGGCCCGCGUUGGAUUAGCUAGUUGGUAGGGUAAAAGCCUACCAAGGCGACGAUCCAUAGCUGGUCUGAGAGGAUGAUCAGCCACACUGGGACUGAGACACGGCCCAGACUCCUACGGAAGGCAGCAGUGGGGAAUAUUGGACGAUGGGCGAGAGCCUGAUCCAGCAAUGCCGCGUGAGUGAUGAAGGCCUUAGGGUUGUAAAGCUCUUUUACCCGGGAUGAUAAUGACGGUACCGGGAGAAUAAGCUCCGGCUAACUCCGUG
RNAcentral lists this ribosomal RNA (433 nucleotides) under uncultured bacterium. RNAcentral's name for it is "partial 16S ribosomal RNA". It matches the Rfam family "Bacterial small subunit ribosomal RNA", at positions 29 to 507 of the family's 1533-position model. The record is from RNAcentral.